This 426-nucleotide long non-coding RNA is filed under the name Capsella rubella. RNAcentral's name for it is "long non-coding RNA (CRUB_LNC003828)". The record is from RNAcentral. Lineage: Eukaryota; Viridiplantae; Streptophyta; Magnoliopsida; Brassicales; Brassicaceae.
GAUUUUUGUGUUUUUGAUUUUUGUUUUUCGUUUUUGUGUUGUUCAGGACUUCAAAGAUAUGAGUGAGCAGGAGAUUCAAAGAUAUUAUCGAACAAGGUUGAGGGAGAUGGUGGGAUAACUUAUGUUUUAAAAAAAAAAAAAAAAAAAUUCAAAACCCUCUUAUCCUCACCCACUCAAUUUUUCCUAUCCCUUUCUCCCUAACCACAAAAAAAAAUCUUAUCCUCUCUCUAUCUCUCUCACUCGAUCUCCUUCACCACUUCUCACAUUUUUCUCUCAUCUCUCUCUUACUCGACCCUAUCCUCUCACCAUCCACUCGACCUCGCAGCUGUCACUCGACCGACCUUACUUCACUCGAUCGACGGCGCAACUUUCACUCGACCUACCGUCUAAUUUCUCCCCUCACUCGACCGAGAAUGUCCACUCGAC